RNAcentral lists this ribosomal RNA (753 nucleotides) under uncultured Pseudomonas sp. RNAcentral's name for it is "bacterial SSU rRNA". It matches the Rfam family "Bacterial small subunit ribosomal RNA", at positions 28 to 776 of the family's 1533-position model. Lineage: Bacteria; Pseudomonadati; Pseudomonadota; Gammaproteobacteria; Pseudomonadales; Pseudomonadaceae. The record is from RNAcentral.
AUUGAACGCUGGCGGCAGGCCUAACACAUGCAAGUCGAGCGGUAGAGAGAAGCUUGCUUCUCUUGAGAGCGGCGGACGGGUGAGUAAUGCCUAGGAAUCUGCCUGGUAGUGGGGGAUAACGUUCGGAAACGGACGCUAAUACCGCAUACGUCCUACGGGAGAAAGCAGGGGACCUUCGGGCCUUGCGCUAUCAGAUGAGCCUAGGUCGGAUUAGCUAGUUGGUGAGGUAAUGGCUCACCAAGGCGACGAUCCGUAACUGGUCUGAGAGGAUGAUCAGUCACACUGGAACUGAGACACGGUCCAGACUCCUACGGGAGGCAGCAGUGGGGAAUAUUGGACAAUGGGCGAAAGCCUGAUCCAGCCAUGCCGCGUGUGUGAAGAAGGUCUUCGGAUUGUAAAGCACUUUAAGUUGGGAGGAAGGGUUGUAGAUUAAUACUCCGCAAUUUUGACGUUACCGACAGAAUAAGCACCGGCUAACUCUGUGCCAGCAGCCGCGGUAAUACAGAGGGUGCAAGCGUUAAUCGGAAUUACUGGGCGUAAAGCGCGCGUAGGUGGUUUGUUAAGUUGGAUGUGAAAUCCCCGGGCUCAACCUGGGAACUGCAUUCAAAACUGACUGACUAGAGUAUGGUAGAGGGUGGUGGAAUUUCCUGUGUAGCGGUGAAAUGCGUAGAUAUAGGAAGGAACACCAGUGGCGAAGGCGACCACCUGGACUAAUACUGACACUGAGGUGCGAAAGCGUGGGGAGCAAACAGG